UGGGGAAUAUUGGACAAUGGGCGAAAGCCUGAUCCAGCCAUGCCGCGUGUGUGAAGAAGGUCUUCGGAUUGUAAAGCACUUUAAGUUGGGAGGAAGGGCAUUAACCUAAUACGUUAGUGUUUUGACGUUACCGACAGAAUAAGCACCGGCUAACUCUGUGCCAGCAGCCGCGGUAAUACAGAGGGUGCAAGCGUUAAUCGGAAUUACUGGGCGUAAAGCGCGCGUAGGUGGUUUGUUAAGUUGGAUGUGAAAUCCCCGGGCUCAACCUGGGAACUGCAUUCAAAACUGACUGACUAGAGUAUGGUAGAGGGUGGUAGAAUUUCCUGUGUAGCGG
RNAcentral lists this ribosomal RNA (334 nucleotides) under uncultured bacterium. RNAcentral describes it as "partial 16S ribosomal RNA". It matches the Rfam family "Bacterial small subunit ribosomal RNA", at positions 355 to 681 of the family's 1533-position model. The record is from RNAcentral.